AUUAACUCCUUCAGCAAGCAUUUACCAGACAUAUCUUACAGAUUGGGUUCUUAUGUGAUAAUAUUAAGUUUACAAAAAUAUGCUGGAUGUGAAUCUAUUUUAUUUCCAGUUAGCAUCAUUAUUUGUGAGAGAAUAACUCAUAACCCACUUUCCCUUUCCCCCUUAUAGCCUAAAAGAGCAAAAUAAGGAACGCUUCAUUUUUUCCUUUCCUUAUCUCUGUAUACCUCUCUCUAUAUAUCCAUAAUUUCUAUGAGAAAGGUCAGAAAGUAAUAGUGUAGAAUUCCUAGGAAAAAAAGGUAUUUUCCUGACUCCAUUCAAAAAAAUUUUGAAAUGCCAAGAGCCACUAUGAAUAAACUAUAGUAUUUGAAUCAUUUAUCUUUGAUUAGAUACAUUAAUCUUAAAUAUGGCACUUACCUAUUUGUUAAGUAUAUUUGGCUUCUAAAAUAAUAAGAAAAUUAAAUCCAAGUUUAAUGGACUUUGAAUAGUAAGUUCACCCUUGAACAUACAAAUGCUUCUGACACAAAAAUUAGUCAUUUUUCUUCUUUGUAAAAUAUAUUUAAAAAUAUGCAAAAUAAAAGGUUAAGUCCUAUACCCAAUAUUAUUUUCUUCUUUAUAUGAGUACAAAUAGAUGUUCUGAGACAUGCUUAUAAUUUCUAUGUAAUGACAAAAUACUGUUGUGGAGCCAUUAGCUAUAUUCUGAGUGCCUUUCUCAAUGGAGAAUAUUUUGCCAAAAUGAUAUUCAUGAAAAGUGUAAGCUACAGAAUAGGCCACAUUUUAUCAAAUGGUAUACCAUUCAAGAUACAAAUCAAAUGCUAUCUCUAUCACAAAGCCACUUCUGUUUCCCUCCCUAUCCAGCUGUUCUCUCAUGCUUUCUCUCUCUUUUCUUGGAAUACCCACCGCAAUUCAUUUUUACAUCUCUUGUGGGUAUUGUGACCUUUUAAUAAUGCAUUGUAAUGGUCUGGAUAAAUGUCUUCUCUUCUAUGAUAGUUUGCUUUAGUAUACAAAGAUUUUAAAUAUUUUUUAUUCUUCAUUAUAGGUACCAGAGUGUCUUGCACAUAUGUUUCUCAAGAAAUGCUCUGGUGCUUCAUUUUUUUGUUGUUGAUGAUUUAGACCUCUAUAUUACUUCUAUUAUUU
RNAcentral lists this long non-coding RNA (1134 nucleotides) under Ictidomys tridecemlineatus (thirteen-lined ground squirrel). Its description in RNAcentral is "lncRNA (ENSSTOG00000034772.1)". Lineage: Eukaryota; Metazoa; Chordata; Mammalia; Rodentia; Sciuridae. The record is from RNAcentral.